Molecule: long non-coding RNA, 350 nt
Organism: Papaver somniferum (opium poppy)
Lineage: Eukaryota; Viridiplantae; Streptophyta; Magnoliopsida; Ranunculales; Papaveraceae
Exons: 2
Source: RefSeq, a predicted model, not a curated record
CAAUGUUGGCUUUAUUUAUGUUAUCUGGAUUUGUUCUAAUGAACAAAUCUGGUUUGAAGAAUGUGUUUGAAAAUUGUCAAAUAUCAGGACCCGGUUUUUAUCAUUUUAGGGAGGGAGGAACGAGAUCCCAAUGAUGAGAAAAGAAAUUUAAACGCAUUGAUGGGUGAUUCAAAGUAGAAAGCGUUCUUUAUCUUUUGUUUUAAAACUGUGGAGAUUGUAAUUUUUUUUCUUAAGGAAUUGAUUAGAUUUGUAUUUUUGUUCUUUUUUUCUUUUCUGUAAAGACUAUAAUUUACUUAAGAAAUGAUGUAAAAUGAAUUCUCUGAUAUAAUAAAAUUUAAUUAUUUUCUUAA